UCAAGCUAGGUGAUGUGGUUAGCAUUAAGUUUAUUCAACAUAUUUCUCACUAUGUACAUUAAAUACAUUAUUUAUACAAACAUCAUGACUGCAUCAUGAUGUCAAGGCUGUGGGAAGUUAAUGAAUCAACCACAUAUACAUGGAUCUGAAUUAGGAUGUCAAAGUUGAUUAAUUCAAUUCACAAAUACAGACUGUGUAUGAAUGGAAGCAGGUGGGGCCAUGCAUAUACAAGUUGAAGCCAAGCACUGCAAGAUUGCACUUGUCCAAACAAAAAGGAGGCAAAGUUGUGAGAUAGAGAAGAAAGAAAGGAGAGCUCCAACCUUCUGAGCUCGUGAUAUAACACGUGGGUGGACAACAUGGGACCCGUUCAGAACUAACAUGGCAUGGUAGUACACUGGUAGGAUUAGGGCAUAUAUCAUGUACACACACACAAAACUACUACUACUAUACAACUUCACUUUUACAAAACAAAACAAAAAAAGUGACAAGUUCUACAUUUUCUCCAUUUGUACUUAACAUUUCAAAUAAAGGAAAAUAAUAUAUGAAUAAAAAGAAGCAAACUUGUAUUUUGCAUGUGUACAAAUGAAUCAAACCAAAAUGCUCCCCUCAAACACAUGUACAAAUGAACCAGCAAUGCUGUCCAGCAAACAUGUACUGAUCUGAGUAAUACUCUGGUGCCUGUAGUGUGGUUCUUAGGUUCUGAAAGACGUGUACACUCAUGUGAUUUCUAUCUGGAUACUUCCACUAGUAACUGACACUAGAGCAGAGAAACAUUGGACACUAACUUGUAGCACACACAUUUUACAAUCUCCUUUUCAUUGUAUAUUUUGAUGAAUGGCCUUAUGAUCAUCAUCCCAGAGAGUCUUGCCAUUCGGUUCUCUAGUUAAACUAACACCCAAUUCAUUGUACAUUGUAAGUGUUUGUGUCUGAGGAACUGGACUUGGCUCAGAUUCCACAUUUAAUUGCACUUUCUGGUACCACCCCAAGAACCUUACUUUGGUUCUUAAACAAAAAUAAAUAGCUGAAUUAUGUAUGAAGAGACUGAGCGUGUAGAUUAUAUUCGUAUAAUAUGAUUCAGUCAUUAUAAAUACCACCAUGUAUUUGUCAGAAUAGUGUUACCGUAUAAGAAAAGUUUCAAAAUGAGUGCAGGAAAGAUAACACUCAAACAAAUAAAGACAAUCAAUAUAAUUACAAUUGAUUCUAUAGUAAAUUGUAAUUAAAAAAAAAAAAAAAAAAAAAAAAAAAAG
Non-coding RNA from Biomphalaria pfeifferi, 1247 nucleotides. NCBI's taxonomy places the organism in Eukaryota, Metazoa, Mollusca, Gastropoda, Planorbidae. The record is from the annotation of a GenBank genome assembly.